CCUACGGGAGGCAGCAGUGGGGAAUCUUGCGCAAUGGGCGAAAGCCUGACGCAGCCAUGCCGCGUGAAUGAUGAAGGUCUUAGGAUUGUAAAAUUCUUUCACCGGGGACGAUAAUGACGGUACCCGGAGAAGAAGCCCCGGCUAACUUCGUGCCAGCAGCCGCGGUAAUACGAAGGGGGCUAGCGUUGCUCGGAAUUACUGGGCGUAAAGGGAGCGUAGGCGGAUAGUUUAGUCAGAGGUGAAAGCCCAGGGCUCAACCUUGGAAUUGCCUUUGAUACUGGCUAUCUUGAGUACGGAAGAGGUAUGUGGAACUCCGAGUGUAGAGGUGAAAUUCGUAGAUAUUCGGAAGAACACCAGUGGCGAAGGCGACAUACUGGUCCGUUACUGACGCUGAGGCUCGAAAGCGUGGGAGCAAACAGGAUUAGAUACCCUGGUAGUCCACGCUGUAAACGAUGAGUGCUAGUUGUCGGCAUGCAUGCAUGUCGGUGACGCAGACUACGACAUAAGUACACCUCCGCCGUCGGGGUAGGUACGGUACG
RNAcentral lists this ribosomal RNA (539 nucleotides) under uncultured bacterium. Its description in RNAcentral is "bacterial SSU rRNA". It matches the Rfam family "Bacterial small subunit ribosomal RNA", at positions 338 to 873 of the family's 1533-position model. The record is from RNAcentral.